Molecule: ribosomal RNA, 498 nt
Filed under: uncultured bacterium
Lineage: Bacteria
Description: partial 16S ribosomal RNA
Rfam family: Bacterial small subunit ribosomal RNA
Source: RNAcentral
AUUGAACGCUGGCGGCAUGCCUUACACAUGCAAGUCGAACGGUAACAGGUCUCCGGAUGCUGACGAGUGGCGAACGGGUGAGUAAUACAUCGGAACGUGCCCAGUAGUGGGGGAUAACUACUCGAAAGAGUGGCUAAUACCGCAUGAGAUCCCCGGAGGAAAGAAGGGGAUCGCAAGAAGUUGUGCUACUAGAGCGGCCGAUGGCAGAUUAGGUAGUUGGUGGGAUAAAAGCUUACCAAGCCGACGAUCUGUAGCUGGUCUGAGAGGACGAUCAGCCACACUGGGACUGAGACACGGCCCAGACUCCUACGGGAGGCAGCAGUGGGGAAUUUUGGACAAUGGGCGAAAGCCUGAUCCAGCAAUGCCGCGUGCAGGAUGAAGGCCUUCGGGUUGUAAACUGCUUUUGUACGGAACGAAAAGCCCCGGGUUAAUACCCUGGGGUCAUGACGGUACCGUAAGAAUAAGCACCGGCUAACUACGUGCCAGCCGCCGCCGUAA